This 72-nucleotide transfer RNA is filed under the name Vibrio phage nt-1. It matches the Rfam family "tRNA". Rfam says of the family: Transfer RNA (tRNA) molecules are approximately 80 nucleotides in length. The record is from Rfam by way of RNAcentral. Lineage: Duplodnaviria; Heunggongvirae; Uroviricota; Caudoviricetes; Pantevenvirales; Straboviridae.
UCACCCGUAGACUAAUGGUAGGUCACUUCCCUUUCAAGGAAGUAUGCGCGAGUUCGAAUCUCGUCGGGUGAA